This 1681-nucleotide ribosomal RNA is filed under the name human gut metagenome. RNAcentral's name for it is "bacterial LSU rRNA". It matches the Rfam family "Bacterial large subunit ribosomal RNA", at positions 831 to 2518 of the family's 2925-position model. The record is from RNAcentral.
AAUCGAACUCGGAGAUAGCUGGUUCUCCCCGAAAUAGCUUUAGGGCUAGCGUCGAGGUAAAGUCGUGUGAAGGUAGAGCACUGAAUAUGUGAUGGCCCCAUCUCGGGGUACUGAACAUAAUCAAACUCCGAAUGUCACAAAGAUAUACUCGGCAGUCAGACAGUGGGUGAUAAGGUCCAUUGUCAAAAGGGAAACAGCCCAGACCAUCAGCUAAGGUCCCAAAAUAUAUACUAAGUGGAAAAGGAUGUGGAGAUGUCCAGACAACUAGGAGGUUGGCUCAGAAGCAGCCAUCCUUUAAAGAGUGCGUAACAGCUCACUAGUCGAAUGACUCUGCGCCGAUAAUUUACCGGGGCUAAGUAUAUUACCGAAGCUAUGGAUUUACGCGUAAGCGUGAGUGGUAGGGGAGCGUUCUAUGUGCGGAGAAGCGGUACCGUAAGGAGCCGUGGAGCGCAUAGAAGAGAGAAUGCCGGUGUGAGUAGCGAAACGUGGGUGAGAAUCCCACGCACCGAAAACCCAAGGUUUCCAGAGGAAGGUUCGUCCGCUCUGGGUAAGUCGGGACCUAAGGCGAGGCCGAGAGGCGUAGUCGAUGGACAACAGGUAGAGAUUCCUGUACUUACGGUAUGAAUGAUGGAGUGACGGAGAAGGCUAGCGGAUCCUGCUGAUGGAAAUGCAGGUGCAAGCGAGGUAGCCGACAGCCAGGCAAAUCCGGCUGUCGAAAGGCAAAGGCGUGAGGCGUAUGGAAAGCUGCGGCAAGUACAGAAGUCCGUGAAGCCAGCUUCCAAGAAAAGCUUCUAGUGAUAAUCAUACAGUAACCCGUACCGAAAAUGGACACACAUGGGUGAGGAGAGAAUCCUAAGGUGAGCGAGAGAACUAUAGCUAAGGAACUCUGCAAAAUGACUCCGUAACUUAGGGAUAAGGAGUGCUCAUAGAGAUAUGAGCCGCAGUGAAACGGCCCAAGCGACUGUUUACCAAAAACACAGCUCUAUGCUAAGUCGAAAGACGACGUAUAUGGGGUGACGCCUGCCCGGUGCUGGAAGGUUAAGAGGAUGUGUCAGCGCAAGCGAAGCAUUGAAUUGAAGCCCCAGUAAACGGCGGCCGUAACUAUAACGGUCCUAAGGUAGCGAAAUUCCUUGUCAGGUAAGUUCUGACCCGCACGAAAGGCGUAACGAUUUGGGCGCUGUCUCAGCUGUAGACUCGGUGAAGUCUUAGUACCUGUGAAGAUGCAGGUUACCCGCGACUAGACGGAAAGACCCCAUGGAGCUUUACUGUAGCUUGAUAUUGGACUUUGAUGCAAGAUGUACAGGAUAGGUAGGAGACUGAGAGACAUGCACGCCAGUGUGUGAGGAGUCAAUGUUGGGAUACUACUCUUCUUGUAUUGGAGUUCUAACCGGAUGCCAUGGAACUGGCAACGGGACAGUGUCAGGUGGGCAGUUUGACUGGGGCGGUCGCCUCCCAAAGAGUAACGGAGGCGCCCAAAGAUACCCUCAGCUUGGAUGGAAAUCAAGCGCAGAGUGCAAAGGCAUAAGGGUGUUUGACUGCGAGACCUACAAGUCGAGCAGGGACGAAAGUCGGGCUUAGUGAUCCGGCGGUGCUGAAUGGAAAGGCCGUCGCUCAACGGAUAAAAGCUACCCUGGGGAUAACAGGCUGAUCUCCCCCAAGAGUCCACAUCGACGGGGAGGUU